Molecule: unclassified non-coding RNA, 203 nt
Filed under: Hevea brasiliensis (rubber tree)
Lineage: Eukaryota; Viridiplantae; Streptophyta; Magnoliopsida; Malpighiales; Euphorbiaceae
Source: RNAcentral
AGGGGUUUUAUUAUGGACAAUCUCUUUAAUUUCUGAAGGGAUACCACCCUCAUCAGACCCAUUUGUGUUAUUACGUAAGCUAUGCAGUACUUUGUUGAAAUUGACAGUAUAAAACUGAAAGAUGCUAUUACACAUUUAAUUUUCUUUUUUCUCGAAAACAUACUAUAGAUAUAGUAUCUGUUUCUUUUUGGUUUUUCUUAUCG